Molecule: long non-coding RNA, 1187 nt
Organism: Salvelinus fontinalis (brook trout)
Lineage: Eukaryota; Metazoa; Chordata; Actinopteri; Salmoniformes; Salmonidae
Exons: 5
Source: RefSeq, a predicted model, not a curated record
UGGAAUUUCCUGCUCUGUAUAUAUAUUUUUAAUGUUUGACCUUCUGCAUAAUGAGAAAUGGUCACUAAGCAAGAGAUGAAUUGACACUCACCACUUCCUCUUUGCACAGACUGCGCUUCAUGUGGAAACUUUAAGCAAGUUAACAAUGACCUUACACAUCAUUAUGUUUGUUUUUUUUUCAUUAAUUUUUGAAGUUUUAACUUCACUACUUAAGUUAGGUGUUUCACUAGUAAUGUAAGCUGAAAGCUUUGCUAUGAGACUCAAAAUUGAGCUCAGGUUCAUCCUGUUUCCAUUGAUCAUCCUUGAGACAUUUCUACAACUUGAUUGGAGUCCACCUGUGGUAAAUUCCAUUGUUUGGACAUGAUUUGGAAAGGCACACAACUGUCUAUAUAAGGUCCACACAGCUGACAGCGCAUGUCAGAGCAAAAAACAAGCCAAACAAGGUCAAUGGAAAAAAACAGACAAAAUCCCGCCCCAAUUUAAUCAAUUUUAGGAUAAGGCUGUAACGUAAUGAAAUGUGGAAAAAUGUCAAGGGGUCUGAAUACUUUCCGAAUGCACUGUACAAUAUUGGCUAUGCAGUAAAUCUGUUUUGUUUACCCCAGAGAUUUAUACUGACUAAAUCAGACUUCCAACUGCAGAUCAUCAUGGGAGAACUGUCUUCUGUACAUUUAGUGUUCUGAAUGUUAUUCUGAUGGUUAUGAUCCUGGUACAUAUCGUGACCUUGGCAUGUCAGAACAGAAGCUGCUUUUAAAAACUAAGACCACCUCAAGAUGCAGACCAGAGGUGGACAUUGACAUCAAACGGAGGUCCUGCCAAAGAUCAUGCAACAGGACCUUUGCUUUCCUUAUCGACCACGACAGCUAACGGUCACAACAGGACCUGAUGACCAAAUUCAACAACACUACCAAGCAUCAGAAGAAGAACUCCCCUGUUAAAGACAUCCUGAAGAUCAAACCUCAACCAAUUAUUUUCCUGUUGUAGCAUACUGACUCAAAUGAAGAUCCUACAUCUAUCUAAAUCAGGGAUGUUCAAUGUCGUUCUUGGAGGGAAGAACCACUACUAAUUCAGACCUGGGACACCAGAGGAGAAAGAAGAGGAGGAAGACGAACGUGACAGAAUCACCCACCACAACCGGGCCAAGCAGCGUGGUAACGGGCAGCAGCAGCAGCGAUCGCAGGACUACUGGA